This 448-nucleotide ribosomal RNA is filed under the name uncultured bacterium. RNAcentral describes it as "bacterial SSU rRNA". It matches the Rfam family "Bacterial small subunit ribosomal RNA", at positions 331 to 794 of the family's 1533-position model. The record is from RNAcentral.
CCAGACUCCUACGGGAGGCAGCAGUGGGGAAUAUUGGGCAAUGGGCGCAAGCCUGACCCAGCAACGCCGCGUGAAGGAAGAAGGCUUUCGGGUUGUAAACUUCUUUUAAGAGGGAAGAGUAGAAGACGGUACCUCUUGAAUAAGCCACGGCUAACUACGUGCCAGCAGCCGCGGUAAUACGUAGGUGGCAAGCGUUGUCCGGAUUUACUGGGUGUAAAGGGCGUGUAGCCGGGCCGGCAAGUCAGAUGUGAAAUCCCAAGGCUCAACCUUGGAACUGCAUUUGAAACUGUUUUUCUUGAGUACCGGAGAGGUCAUCGGAAUUCCUUGUGUAGCGGUGAAAUGCGUAGAUAUAAGGAAGAACACCAGUGGCGAAGGCGGAUGACUGGACUGUAACUGACGUUGAGGCUCGAAAGCGUGGGGAGCAAACAGGAUUAGAUACCCGUGUAGC